UGGGGAAUUUUGGACAAUGGGCGAAAGCCUGAUCCAGCAAUGCCGCGUGUGUGAAGAAGGCCUUCGGGUUGUAAAGCACUUUUGUCCGGAAAGAAAUGGCUCUGGUUAAUACCUGGGGUCGAUGACGGUACCGGAAGAAUAAGGACCGGCUAACUACGUGCCAGCAGCCGCGGUAAUACGUAGGGUCCAAGCGUUAAUCGGAAUUACUGGGCGUAAAGCGUGCGCAGGCGGUUGUGCAAGACCGAUGUGAAAUCCCCGAGCUUAACUUGGGAAUGGCAUUGGUGACUGCACGGCUAGAGUGUGUCAGAGGGGGGUAGAAUUCCACGUGUGGCAGUGAAAUGCGUAGAGAUGUGGAGGAAUACCGAUGGCGAAGGCAGCCCCCUGGGAUAACACUGACGCUCAUGCACGAAAGCGUGGGGAGCAAACAGG
RNAcentral lists this ribosomal RNA (429 nucleotides) under Bacillota bacterium. RNAcentral's name for it is "Firmicutes bacterium partial 16S ribosomal RNA". It matches the Rfam family "Bacterial small subunit ribosomal RNA", at positions 355 to 776 of the family's 1533-position model. Lineage: Bacteria; Bacillati; Bacillota. The record is from RNAcentral.